Cephus cinctus (wheat stem sawfly) is the source of this 969-nucleotide long non-coding RNA. RefSeq lists it as uncharacterized. The record is from RefSeq and is a predicted model, not a curated record. Lineage: Eukaryota; Metazoa; Arthropoda; Insecta; Hymenoptera; Cephidae. The transcript has 3 exons.
CGAGUGUCGGUAGAGCUUACGUAUUUUAUAAGAGAGAAUAGGAGGCAGCGUUAAUCGAAUAAAAUUCUUAUUCGGCGCACGUACAACGUGUAAACCCGUAAACCCGUAAAUUUGAGCGUCCUGCCGUCUAGGUACGUAGAGUAGGGUUACGAGACGUUGGAGUAACAGCUGGAACACCUACGACAUAGUAGCGAGUUUGAAGCGGAAAGAGACGAGUAUUAUAUCCUUAUGCAACGUUUUGUUGCGCACCGAAAGUUCCUGGACGAUUAUCAUCUUCAUCUUCAUGGAUGGUGACCUGCACACCCACGUCUGAAUUAAAAUGCGAUAAGUACCAUAAAUUGCUCCUCGAAAGUUUUAACAUAUUCAAGAAAAUGGCCGAGACGGAUGAAAGUUGUCUUAAGGUUUUCCUCUUCGGCCAUCCUGCAAUUGGUACUUCGAUCGACUUCCCGACGGAAGAAGGGCUCGUGAUUGCAGCUGGUGAUGGAGGGGCAAGUAAAAUAUAUAAAAGAAGGAAAGUCAUCAGAAAGAUAGGCACGGGAAAUAGAAUUGAUGGUAUGUAUCACAAGGAGCUAAGUAUCCGAGGGAGGGGUAGCCUUAGGAAGGGGAAAGACGGAGAGAAAGACUAAUUUGCUUUGGACACAAGGAUUGAGAAUGUGGGCGUGCAGUCGUAUACGAUCGAGGGUGGGGUUAAUUGGUAAAUUAACCUUAAUUAUCGAACCCUUCGUAUUUCUCCAUUCUUCCUCUUAUAAACGUUCGCUACGCGAAGCUGACUGCCAGGUUAAGCUCUUAGUCAGUUACUGGUACAUCAUUUCUUACGUAGAAGUUCAUAUAUAUAUAUAUACCCGGUUGAAAUUCCAAAGUCAAGUAAAAGAUUUCUCUUAUUUAAAAAGUCAAGUAGCCUGAGGCAAUGAGAUUUAUAAUACAACGGAAUUGUAUAAUACGAAAGAGAACAGAGAAAGUCUAAGGACU